RNAcentral lists this ribosomal RNA (62 nucleotides) under Laccaria sp. RNAcentral describes it as "partial 18S ribosomal RNA". It matches the Rfam family "Eukaryotic small subunit ribosomal RNA", at positions 1771 to 1831 of the family's 1831-position model. The record is from RNAcentral. Lineage: Eukaryota; Fungi; Basidiomycota; Agaricomycetes; Agaricales; Hydnangiaceae.
UUCUGGAAGUGAAAAAGCGUAACAAGGUUUCCGUAGGUGAACCUGCGGAAGGAUCAUUAUUG